This 26-nucleotide non-coding RNA is filed under the name Rattus norvegicus (Norway rat). Lineage: Eukaryota; Metazoa; Chordata; Mammalia; Rodentia; Muridae. The record is from RNAcentral.
CGGUCUAUAGACAAUGAAUUCUGUCA